This 369-nucleotide ribosomal RNA is filed under the name Erginulus sp. MZSP 73179. RNAcentral's name for it is "partial small subunit ribosomal RNA". The record is from RNAcentral. Lineage: Eukaryota; Metazoa; Arthropoda; Arachnida; Opiliones; Cosmetidae.
GAUUAGAUACCCUAGUAUAAAAUUUUAAUAGUAGAUUAGUAUAUAAAAGAAAUUUUAAAUUUUUGGCGGUAAAUUAUUAUUUAGAGGAGCUUGUCUAUAGAAAUUACUCUUUAUAUUUCAUUAAUUAUUGUUUAUUUAUCUCCGUUAUAAGGUGGGAACUUAAUAAGAUUAAGCUAAGAUUUCAGGUCAAGAUGUAGCAAUAAUUAGGGAAGAUUAGCUACAUUAAUUUAAUUAUGGAUUUUUAAAAAAUUUUGGGUUGAAAUUGAAUUUAAUUGUAAUUUAACUUAGAAUGGUUAAAUGAAAUUAUUUAAUUUAUGUACAUAUUGCCCGUCACUUCUUUUUACAAAAAGAAUAAGUCGUAACAAAGUA